GUGACUCCUCCCCAGCCUUUUUCCCUUCCCGUUUGCUUCCUCUUCGGCGCCGCCAGGGAGUCCUCCCUUCCCCUAUGCUGCCUCUCACUUUCCUCCUGCUGAUCUGAGCGCUAGGUGUUGGAGGCCCCCAUUUUCUUUGGUGACCAGCGUGUAUAGGUAUGGUUCUGUCAGUUUUUUUGAUUUUUUUCAGUUGCAGUGCUUGAUUUUCGGCGUCAUUAUGAAGUGCCUUAGAGGCCGGAUCAGCCCUGGUUUCUAUAGAGCGUUUUCUAGUAUGUUAGAUUACCUUUCCAAGGAUGGUUUAUUUGCGCAGUUUGGAUGAGUGGUUUAAGAGUUAUAGGCUUCCGAAGUCAGGUGUCUCAUCCUGUCAAAUUACAGUUUCAGACGUAUUUCAGUGCCACUUUCAGUUUUGCAAUGCAAUUUAAAAUAUGCUGCAGGCAGAAUCAAGCCCUAUUUCUAUGGAGUGUGAUGUAGUGGGAUAGUUGUUCUUUCCCCAGGUAGCUUAAUCACCCAAUUUGGAUAAUUGGUCUGAGAGUUAUGAUUUUUCCAAAACAGCAAUGUUGCUGUCAUGAACAGAUUGACUCUGCAACUUUGUAGCGAGGAUUAGACAUAGAAGAUGGUGGAAUUUGGAUUCGGACUGAAUACAAAAGUUGUAGCUUGUGAACUGUAGAUGCUCCUAGAGUCCUCAUUAUUAUUGUAGCUAUUACAAAAUUAAAGAUACAAAAAAGAUAACUGCAGCUGCUGUUUUGGGGUUCCCUAGGGAUUAAUAGCCGGCUGUCGGAAUGGACCGUAGGGAUGAUGCGCUGUUUUCUUGUGCUUGAUAUUUGAAGUGUUUGUAAUGAAUUGUAUUCUCCGAACAGGUGGUAGUGCUCCGGAUCAGACUUGAGUCCCUCUUGCUUGCUUCGUCGGUUAAGGCAAGUGGAUUUGUAGCUGUGGUUGGCUACGCUUUGCCUUGCUAUUUUUAUCAUCAAAAGUUAAUAUUUGAAGUUCAUAUGAUUCUAUACAUAUUCUCAAUCGUAUUUAUAAUUCAUCUAUCCUGAGAAGUGAACCAUGAAGACUUAUAAUUGAGUAAGUUUUAUGUGGAAAUCCACAUAUUUGAAUUUGAAAGUAUAUUAAUGUUGCAGCAUUACAUAAGCAUCGCAUUAUGCAUUUGCAUUGAAGUAUGUCGUGAUCUUAUGAUCCGACUUGUACCGGUACAGCAUCUUCGGAUGCAGCUCCAUACCUUGUUGGGUAUGCGGACAGAAGGAAGUGCAUGGCAUUCAAUAUGCAUCCAUAUUAUUGAAGUUGAAUUGAAGUUUAUCGUCUUGAUUUUAUAUGUUGAAUGCAAAUCAUUGCUAAGUAAAUUUGUUUUUUUUAAAAUAGCUUGUCGAAACAGUCCACUUGUGGAGAUGUUUCAUCUCACUCCUUGUAUAUUCACUUUUUUCAGGUGUUUGAUGCUUAUUCUUGUGGGAAGGGAGAGUAGCAGCACGUCUACACUUCAUCUUUUAGAAAUCCUUUUAUAGCAUCUAGUUAGUGUAAUAAUCAGUUUGGUUAAGAACAACUUAAAGUUGUGUUCGCUGCCGGUUCUAUUCUUUUAGUUUUUCAUUUUCGUUCAGGGGUGCUAUCCAUGCUAGCUUGUUCCUUAUAUUGAUCUAUUUGUGUUUGCUUCCGCGAUAGCUCUAGUUUCAAAGGAGAUGCUGCCAUUUUUUUUUUCAUCUCUUUAGUGUUGUUGCUUGUGUAGUUUAGUAGCUCUUCGGGUGUUAUAGGAGGCAUCAGAAAAAGAGCAAAAAGAAGAGCUGGAAAGGAGGCGCGCUGCUCAGCACAAGGAGGAGAGGGAACACAGGCUGGAGCAUGUUCGUCAUGCGAAGACAGCAAUGGAGGAGAAUCCAGAUGCACUGAGAAAGGGAAAAUGGUCUCGUUGCAUUUAGUAGUAUGCAAGAUUUGCUAGUUGUAUGACUUAUUUAUGUAAUGAAUUUGUCAUUGUGUUCUCG
Molecule: long non-coding RNA, 1967 nt
Filed under: Panicum hallii
Lineage: Eukaryota; Viridiplantae; Streptophyta; Magnoliopsida; Poales; Poaceae
Description: long non-coding RNA (PHAL_LNC000221)
Source: RNAcentral